GGGGAAUUUUGGACAAUGGGCGAAAGCCUGAUCCAGCAAUGCCGCGUGAGUGAAGAAGGCCUUCGGGUUGUAAAGCUCUUUUGUCAGGGAAGAAACGGUUUGGGCUAAUAUCCUGAGCUAAUGACGGUACCUGAAGAAUAAGCACCGGCUAACUACGUGCCACCAGCCGCGGUAAAACGUAGGUACCGAGCGUUAUCCGGAUUUACUGGGCGUAAAGCGCGUUCAGGCGGCUUAGCAAGUCGGGCAUGAAAUCUCUCGGCUCAACCGGGAGGGGCUGUCCGAUACUGCUGGGCUUGAGGGCAGUAGAGGGUGGUGGAAUUCCGGGUGUAGUGGUGAAAUGCGUAGAGAUCCGGAGGAACACCAGUGGCGAAAGCGGCCACCUGGACUGUACCUGACGCUCAAACGCGAAAGCUAGGGGAGCGAA
This 424-nucleotide ribosomal RNA is filed under the name uncultured bacterium. RNAcentral describes it as "bacterial SSU rRNA". It matches the Rfam family "Bacterial small subunit ribosomal RNA", at positions 356 to 772 of the family's 1533-position model. The record is from RNAcentral.